Molecule: transfer RNA, 77 nt
Filed under: Erysipelotrichaceae bacterium
Lineage: Bacteria; Bacillati; Bacillota; Erysipelotrichia; Erysipelotrichales; Erysipelotrichaceae
Description: tRNA-Arg
Rfam family: tRNA
About the family: Transfer RNA (tRNA) molecules are approximately 80 nucleotides in length. Their secondary structure includes four short double-helical elements and three loops (D, anti-codon, and T loops). Further hydrogen bonds mediate the characteristic L-shaped molecular structure. tRNAs have two regions of fundamental functional importance: the anti-codon, which is responsible for specific mRNA codon recognition, and the 3' end, to which the tRNAs corresponding amino acid is attached (by aminoacyl-tRNA synthetases). tRNAs cope with the degeneracy of the genetic code in two manners: having more than one tRNA (with a specific anti-codon) for a particular amino acid; and 'wobble' base-pairing, i.e. permitting non-standard base-pairing at the 3rd anti-codon position.
Source: RNAcentral
GUCCGCGUAGCUCAGUUGGAUAGAGCAAUCGCCUCCUAAGCGAUAGGUCGGGGGUUCGACUCCCUUCGCGGACGCCA